This 403-nucleotide ribosomal RNA is filed under the name Fusobacteriota bacterium. Its description in RNAcentral is "Fusobacteria bacterium partial 16S ribosomal RNA". It matches the Rfam family "Bacterial small subunit ribosomal RNA", at positions 355 to 776 of the family's 1533-position model. The record is from RNAcentral. Lineage: Bacteria; Fusobacteriati; Fusobacteriota.
UGGGGAAUUUUGCACAAUGGGGGAAACCCUGAUGCAGCGACGCCGCGUGUACGAUGAAGAUCUUCGGAUUGUAAAGUACUGUCCUUGGUGAAGAUAAUGACUGUAACCAAGAAGCAAGCCCUGGCUAAAUACGUGCCAGCAGCCUCGGUAAUACGUAUGGGGCAAGCGUUGUCCGGAAUUAUUGGGCGUAAAGGGUACGUAGGCGGUUAUUUAAGUCUAAAUUAAAAGGCAUUGGCUCAACCAAUGUAAGGUUUAGAUACUGGGUAACUUGAGUAGAUGAGGGGAAAGUGGAAUUCCAUGUGUAGCGGUGAAAUGCGUAGAUAUAUGGAGGAACACCAAUGGCGAAGGCAACUUUCUGGAAUCAAACUGACGCUGAGGUACGAAGGCGUGGGGAGCAAACAGG